Molecule: ribosomal RNA, 699 nt
Filed under: uncultured Lachnospiraceae bacterium
Lineage: Bacteria; Bacillati; Bacillota; Clostridia; Lachnospirales; Lachnospiraceae
Description: bacterial SSU rRNA
Rfam family: Bacterial small subunit ribosomal RNA
Source: RNAcentral
GAACGCUGGCGGCGUGCCUAACACAUGCAAGUCGAACGGAACUGUUUUGAAAGAUUUCUUCGGAAUGAAUUUGAUUUAGUUUAGUGGCGGACGGGUGAGUAACGCGUGAGUAACCUGCCUUCAAGAGGGGGAUAACAUUCUGAAAAGGAUGCUAAUACCGCAUGACAUAUCGGAACCACAUGGUUUUGAUAUCAAAGAUUUUAUCGCUUGAAGAUGGACUCGCGUCCGAUUAGUUAGUUGGUGAGGUAACGGCUCACCAAGACCGCGAUCGGUAGCCGGACUGAGAGGUUGAACGGCCACAUUGGGACUGAGACACGGCCCAGACUCCUACGGGAGGCAGCAGUGGGGGAUAUUGCGCAAUGGGGGCAACCCUGACGCAGCAACGCCGCGUGAAGGAUGAAGGUUUUCGGAUUGUAAACUUCUUUUAUUAAGGACGAAAAAUGACGGUACUUAAUGAAUAAGCUCCGGCUAACUACGUGCCAGCAGCCGCGGUAAUACGUAGGGAGCAAGCGUUGUCCGGAUUUACUGGGUGUAAAGGGUGCGUAGGCGGCUUUGCAAGUCAGAUGUGAAAUCUAUGGGCUCAACCCAUAAACUGCAUUUGAAACUGUAGAGCUUGAGUGAAGUAGAGGCAGGCGGAAUUCCCCGUGUAGCGGUGAAAUGCGUAGAGAUGGGGAGGAACACCAGUGGCGAAGGCGGCCU